This 300-nucleotide ribosomal RNA is filed under the name uncultured bacterium. RNAcentral describes it as "bacterial SSU rRNA". It matches the Rfam family "Bacterial small subunit ribosomal RNA", at positions 335 to 628 of the family's 1533-position model. The record is from RNAcentral.
UAUCCUACGGGAGGCAGCAGUGGGGAAUAUUGCGCAAUGGGCGAAAGCCUGACGCAGCGACGCCGCGUGAGGGAUGAAGGUCUUCGGAUCGUAAACCUCUGUCAGCAGGGAAGAACGGUCACUGUGCUAAUCAGCAGUGAAUUGACGGUACCUGCAAAGGAAGCACCGGCUAACUCCGUGCCAGCAGCCGCGGUAAUACGGAGGGUGCGAGCGUUAAUCGGAUUGACUGGGCGUAAAGCGCUCGUAGGCGGUAUGUCAAGUCAAGGGGGAAAUCGCCGCGCUAAACGUGUGAACUGACUU